This 30-nucleotide non-coding RNA is filed under the name Homo sapiens (human). Lineage: Eukaryota; Metazoa; Chordata; Mammalia; Primates; Hominidae. The record is from RNAcentral.
UCUCCUGGAGUUGAGCUGCUUAGUGGCCUA